Molecule: non-coding RNA, 94 nt
Filed under: bovine gut metagenome
Also listed under: 1 other name
Description: SAM riboswitch (S box leader)
Rfam family: SAM riboswitch aptamer (S box leader)
About the family: The SAM riboswitch is found upstream of a number of genes which code for proteins involved in methionine or cysteine biosynthesis in Gram-positive bacteria. The SAM riboswitch acts at the level of transcription termination control. The predicted structure consists of a complex stem-loop region followed by a single stem loop terminator region.
Source: RNAcentral
CUUAUCAAGAGUGGCGGAGGGACCGGCCCUGUGAAGCCCGGCAACCUGCGAAUGCAAGGUGCCAAAUCCGGCGGUGUGUAAUCGAAAGAUGAGG